This is a non-coding RNA of Peromyscus maniculatus bairdii (prairie deer mouse), 1257 nucleotides long. The record is from RefSeq and is a predicted model, not a curated record. NCBI's taxonomy places the organism in Eukaryota, Metazoa, Chordata, Mammalia, Rodentia, Cricetidae.
ACGCAGUGUAAGAAAUUCACAACUCUGAAAGAACAAAUAUUUAAAAAACGAAUAUGAAAUUUAAUAAUACUGAAAAUGUUAGGAAAUCUUUGAGGCAUUUUUGUUUGUCGUUGCCCUACACCCUAGCCCUGCCCCUUGGCUAUGAUGAAACCAUCCUUUGCUGCUACAACACUCGUCCACCAGUCUAAAGAAGCACUAUUGUUUUGUUUGUAUUUAGCCCCGAUUACCUUGCUAUUGUAGAAAAUGGACUGAUAGAGGUCUCCAACCAGACAAUUCACUUGAAAUACUUAUAUAAUAACAAUUUUAUACAAAAGUUUCUGUGAGGUAAAAUGCCUAUCUCAGAACUUUUUGCCAACAGUACAAAAUUAUAUUAAAGUCACCAGAUAUUUAUACUCAUUGUGACAGCCAAGUCAUAUCAUAUUAUUUCUUCAUUGACUAUUUACAUAGAUGACCCACACUGGAUUCCAUUUCCUCUUUCAUAUCUUUUCCUUACAUAUACUUUGCUUUAUGAGGGUCCACCAGUAUAUCUUCACUUCAGAAACAAAUAAUUUCCUUAAAAUUAAUGAAGAAACUCGAGUGAUCAUGAUCCAGAUUUAGAACUCCCAGGUUCCUCUCAAGCACCACGUCUGUCUGCAUGCCUCCAUGCUUCCAACCAUGAUGACUAUGGACAGUCUAAACCUCUGAACUAGUUCAAAUAUAAAACAAACAACAGACAGACGCUCAUCCAGUGAGCACAUAGAUGAACACCUGCAUCAAGGAACACUAAGGAGAAAGAUUGAGUGGUUUGGUUUAAUGUACUAUGGAUGGGAGAACUCUGCAUCAGAAAUAAAAGACUCCUGAAUUGUGAAAGAACUGAAACUAUCCCAAGCUAAGGCAUGGCAGCAUGUGCUUCCAUGAUCAACCACAAACAUGAAACAGAGAAACGGAACUGAAAGCAUGGUGAAGCUACACACUCUCAAAGCCUGCCUCUAAUGAGUAGACUUCCAGAAAGCCCACAUCAACUAAACCUUCUAAGCAGUUCCAUCAGCUCUGAAACAAGGAUUUAUAAGAUCGGGACUAUUGAAGACACUUCUGAUUCGAAAUACCACAAUCCCUAAGGUAUCACCAUCCUAUUUAAAAUGGCCUUACCUUUGACUAUACAUGGAAGUGCACUCAUUAUUUUACUGUCUUAUUUAAUGCUAAUUAAUUCUCUCUUAUUUAAUGAAAUCUUGUCAUAUCUUGAGGUCCUUGGUGAAUUUGGAGUUGAGAUUUUUGCAA